GAUGAACGCUGGCGGUGUGCCUAAUACAUGCAAGUCGUACGCAUUCCCGUUUUUUGAUUGAAGGUGCUUACACCUGAUUGAUAAAAACAUCGGAAUGAGUGGCGGACGGGUGAGUAACACGUGGGUAACCUGCCCAGAAGUGGGGGGAUAACAUUUGGAAACAGAUGCUAAUACCGCAUAAUAGAUAGAACCACAUGGUUCUAUUUUGUAAAGAAUGGCCUUUGUGCUAUC
This 231-nucleotide ribosomal RNA is filed under the name uncultured bacterium. Its description in RNAcentral is "partial 16S ribosomal RNA". It matches the Rfam family "Bacterial small subunit ribosomal RNA", at positions 28 to 218 of the family's 1533-position model. The record is from RNAcentral.